GAUCAAAGCAGCUCUAUGCCGGUCAGGCCAUUCUUCUCCGAGAUCAUGCCGUUCAAGUCCGGUCUUUCGCUGCUCCAUCCGCAGAUCCUCCACUCAAAGGAGAUCAGAUGUUGAAGAACAUCUUUUACGAUGUUAAGAACAAAUUUGAGACUGCCCUUGGGAUACUUAGGCAGGAAAAGAUCACAAUUGAUCCUGAAGACCCUGCUGCAGUGACUCAGUAUGCCAAGGUUAUGAAGACUAUAAGAGAAAAGGCUGGUUUACCCUCAGAAUCUCAACGAAUUAAAAGCACCAUCGACCAACGAACUCAAGGCAUCCCUGAUGCCCGGACAUACUUAUUGACUCUACAGGAGAUACGCGUAAAGAGUGGCCUCACCGAUGACCUUGGAGCUGAGACGAUGAUGAUGGAAGCAUUGGAAAAGGUUGAGAAAGAAAUUAAGAAGCCACUUCUAAGGUCUGACAAGAAGAACAUGGGUCUUCUUUUAACUGAGUUUGAGAAAAUCAACAAGAAGCUGGGUAUCCGUAAAGAUGAUCUUCCAAAAUAUGAACAAGAACUGGAACUUAAACUUGCCAAGGCGCAGUUGCAAGAACUAAAGACGGAUGCUCUUGAGGCUAUGGAGACCCAGAUGAAAAGGGAGGAAUUCAAGGACGAGCAGGCUGUUGAUGUGAAGUCAUUGGACAUCCG
This 682-nucleotide unclassified non-coding RNA is filed under the name Hevea brasiliensis (rubber tree). The record is from RNAcentral. Lineage: Eukaryota; Viridiplantae; Streptophyta; Magnoliopsida; Malpighiales; Euphorbiaceae.